UACAGUGGCGUACGGGUGAGUAACACGUGACUACCUACCUUCGAGUGGGGGGAUAACUCCGGGAAACCGGAGCUAAUACCGCAUAACAUCGAGAGAUAAAAGAAGCAAUUCGCUGGAAGAGGGGGUCGCGGCUGAUUAGCUAGUUGGCGGGGUAAUGGCCCACCAAGGCGAUGAUCGGUAGCCGGCCUGAGAGGGCGCACGGCCACACUGGAACUGAAACACGGUCCAG
Molecule: ribosomal RNA, 229 nt
Filed under: uncultured bacterium
Lineage: Bacteria
Description: partial 16S ribosomal RNA
Rfam family: Bacterial small subunit ribosomal RNA
Source: RNAcentral